UUCCAUGUUGUCAAUGAGCCUAACCUUUCCAAACCAUACUGCUACACAAAAUACAACUGGUCUCUUGAUGGUUUCCACUGGCUCUAAACUUUCUUGAUCCACAAUCUGAUGCAAGGAAGGUGUCAGCAAUGAGGUUCAUGUCCGGAUAAAGCUUCCAAGACACUAAAGAUACCAAAUACUGGUGAUGUGUGUACUAGUUCAAGAGGGUAGUAAAGGAGAAGUGGUGUAACUAGAGAGCUUUAUCAUGUUACUCGCUCCUUAAAAAAGCCGUUGUAUGGUACUCGUGUAUUCUAUUGGUAAAUAUAUGUUACAGCUAGAGGACCUUGAAAGCACUAUUGACAAGAUUAUGCCAUACUUCCUUCAGUAAUUUGUUUAUCUA
This is a long non-coding RNA of Solanum lycopersicum (tomato), 379 nucleotides long. RefSeq lists it as uncharacterized. Lineage: Eukaryota; Viridiplantae; Streptophyta; Magnoliopsida; Solanales; Solanaceae. The record is from RefSeq and is a predicted model, not a curated record.